GGAGAUUUUUGCUGAAUGGAGGGUGCUGCUGUCCUCUGCAUUGCGUGAUCGAGCAAGCACAGGGAGCUUUCUCUGCUGGAGGUUAACCUAGGGCAUCCUACGUCACUGAAUGACAACCAGUUUUCGGAAGGCAGGACGGUUUUGGUUCCGCACAGCUACUGAAGAUGUGUGGGACACAGCCCUUUACCUUAACUUAGAGAGACAAAACAGAAGUCUAAGAAUUAGUGAGAAAAAGGGCAUGAGUGUAUUAUAAACCUUAAACUGUGUGCGGUAGAAGCAUAAAAGACCCAGACUGAUUAAAGUGCUAAUUGUGUUAGAGACAAUAUUGGAGGGAAAAAGGAGAGCACUCUGUAGGAAGAAGAUUUCAGGGAAGGGUAGAGUAGAAGUGGAUCAAGGAUGAGGCUCUCUGGUCUCUGGAAAGGAUAAAACUGACUUUAUCAGCAACACAUGUUUAUUGAGCACGAAGGGGUUUGCACCUGUUAGAAGCACUUGGAAUUUACAGAAAUUUAACUCUACUGCUGUCUUAACACUGUCAAAAUAUUUUCUAUGCGGAUACAGUGUUGUAAAUCCUUGGAGAGUGGGUAUUAACCUGGGGAUGGUCUGAAUUUGGAAUCUUCUGCCCCACCGGCACCAAUCCCAGCUGGCGGGAGAGACAGAGGGAAUGAACAGAGACACUGGUUUAUAAGGGACACAGAAUCAGAUGGACCGCUUCACUUCAGAGUGAUGUCAGCAGAAAUUGCAGAGUAAAGACCUCCAGAAAUCCUUCUGUCCAUAAAAACAAUGGAACGCUAGCAAAAAUUCUGAUAAUCAGCCUUGGUAGAACUCUGGAAAUUAACCAAAGGCUUGAAGUAAACUGAGAAGCAUUUAUUUAAGAAAAAUAGAUGAAUCUGAGUAAGAACAUUGAAUUGUAUGACAUUUUAACUUGCCCUAUUCACAAUGUAAGCGGACCUUUCUUACUAGAUAUCAAGAUUAUUGUUAAUUUCUAAUAAAGAAAACAACAUGUUUCAGCGACAAACAUAUAGAACGGUGGGCAGAACAAAUAGCCCAGAGAAGAAUCAUACAUAAAUGGGCACGAUAUUUGAGAGAGAGAGCAUAACAGAUCCGUGGAGAAAUGCAGACUGUUCAACAAAAGGUGCUGGAAAAGUGGGAAUCCAUGUGGGAAAAAGAAACAAAAUUGGACUACUACUACUGCAUACUGUAUCUGCCCAAAAUUCCCAGAAGAAAUAAAGAUCUAAUUGUUAAAGGCAAAACUACUAUUUUAAAGAAAUUAAUAUAAAAUUUUAUUUGUAAUUUUUGAAUAGGGAAGAAGUUCUUUAAAAAUAUAGAAUAGCUUCCAGUAUAAAAGUGAUAGAUAAGUUCAAUUACAUUAAAAUGAAACCUUUUGGUCCUCAAAGUACUAGAAGAAAGUGAAGACAAGCCACUUUAGGAGAUGUGAGAGAAGAUAUGCACAAAACAUACAAUGGACAAUUAACUUGAUUUGGGAGUAUAUAUAUAACACUCCUACGUAUGAAAAAUAUGAAACUCACCUGGCCACAUAACUCCAUGAAAAUAUGUUUAAUCUCUUUAAUAAUCAAGAAUAAGCAAAAUGAUACUGCAGUAGCUUAACACUACUAAUCACAAAGAUUUUCAAAAACUUUAAAAAUCAGAAAACACCAAUUGUAUUAGAUUGAAUUAUUGGUUUCGACACUUCAUUCCUCUGUAAUGCAAUUCCACAUGUGCAUCCUCGCUGUGGUUUCUUGGUGUGUAAAAUGAAUGUUCUUGCUCCUUGACUUUGGCCUUGUUUGCGAUUUGCUUUGACUAAUGGAAUGUCAGUGUACAUGACACAAACAGUGGCUUAAAAUGGGCUU
Molecule: long non-coding RNA, 1847 nt
Organism: Equus caballus (horse)
Lineage: Eukaryota; Metazoa; Chordata; Mammalia; Perissodactyla; Equidae
Source: Ensembl